GACAGAGGGAGCCCGACUCCCGUGCCUCCGGCAUGAGGAAAGUCCCCCCACCGGCCGGACGGGCGACCGGGCACACGCCCGGAGUCGGAGACGGCUGGCUCUGGAACAGCAACGACACCCCCCGCCCCGACCGAUGAGUCGAGCGAACCGACCCGCAAGGGAAGGGAGUUAACCCGACGAGGGCGCGUGGGUUUCCCACGUUACAGACGGGCGGGAACGGAUGGAACGGCGAACCCUCGCCGGUGCAAGUCCGCGCCAUCAGGUAGUCCGGCCACGGCGCGGACGCUCAGCCGAAUGUCGGGACGAACCGAAGGGGGCUUACUCCCCUCAGUC
Molecule: RNase P RNA, 333 nt
Filed under: Halorubrum sp. 48-1-W
Lineage: Archaea; Methanobacteriati; Methanobacteriota; Halobacteria; Halobacteriales; Haloferacaceae
Description: RNase P RNA component
Rfam family: Archaeal RNase P
About the family: Ribonuclease P (RNase P) is a ubiquitous endoribonuclease, found in archaea, bacteria and eukarya as well as chloroplasts and mitochondria. Its best characterised activity is the generation of mature 5'-ends of tRNAs by cleaving the 5'-leader elements of precursor-tRNAs.
Source: RNAcentral